AUACUACAUACGGUCGCCUGUAAAGUUUCUAUAACGUAAUAUCCAGUGUUAAGGUCAUCAUCAUUAUAUAGGCUUUUUAUUUACUAAAACGAUUACAAUUCAACUUUUGAAGAAUUUUUUUUAAAAGCAAAGAAAGGCGAGAACAUGGUUUCUACAACUCUUUUGAUAAUGUCAAUUACUUUGGUAUUUCUUGGAGUCAGUGAAGCACUUAAAGGAAGUGAAAGAGUGGUACAAGACUUAUCAAGUCUAACGUUAGAAAAGAGGAAGGCGACAGAGUUCCUCCGAAGAUCCAAACGAUAUGGUUCAUCAGAGUAUUACAGAGAAGUAAGGGAAACUAACCGUGAGGUCGAGGAGAAAAAUGA
Molecule: long non-coding RNA, 362 nt
Organism: Mytilus californianus (California mussel)
Lineage: Eukaryota; Metazoa; Mollusca; Bivalvia; Mytilida; Mytilidae
Exons: 3
Source: RefSeq, a predicted model, not a curated record